GAUGAACGCUGGCGGCGUGCCUAAUACAUGCAAGUCGAGCGAACAGACGAGGAGCUUGCUCCUCUGACGUUAGCGGCGGACGGGUGAGUAACACGUGGAUAACCUACCUAUAAGACUGGGAUAACUUCGGGAAACCGUAGCUAAUACCGGAUAAUAUAUUGAACCGCAUGGUUCAAUAGUGAAAGACGGUUUUGCUGUCACUUAUAGAUGGAUCCGCGCCGCAUUAGCUAGUUGGUAAGGUAACGGCUUACCAAGGCGACGAUGCGUAGCCGACCUGAGAGGGUGAUCGGCCACACUGGAACUGAGACACGGUCCAGACUCCUACGGGAGGCAGCAGUAGGGAAUCUUCCGCAAUGGGCGAAAGCUUGACGGAGCAACGCCGCGUGAGUGAUGAAGGUCUUCGGAUCGUAAAACUCUGUUAUUAGGGAAGAACAAAUGUGUAAGUAACUAUGCACGUCUUGACGGUACCUAAUCAGAAAGCCACGGCUAACUACGUG
This 497-nucleotide ribosomal RNA is filed under the name uncultured bacterium. RNAcentral describes it as "partial 16S ribosomal RNA". It matches the Rfam family "Bacterial small subunit ribosomal RNA", at positions 28 to 507 of the family's 1533-position model. The record is from RNAcentral.